Molecule: ribosomal RNA, 196 nt
Filed under: Globigerinella siphonifera
Lineage: Eukaryota; Foraminifera; Rotaliida; Globigerinidae
Description: partial 18S ribosomal RNA
Rfam family: Eukaryotic small subunit ribosomal RNA
Source: RNAcentral
CCUAGUGCGAUUGUAGUUGAGCCUUGCCAUUUAUGCAAGUGUCAAUUCUCAGUGGGGACAGACAUUUGAUAAUUCUUUGUCUCGUUCUUAACUAGGAAUGCCUUGUACGGGUCUUGGUUCAACAGACCACCCGGAAUACGUCCCUGCCCUUUGUAMACACCGCCCGUCGCUCUUACCGAUGAAUUUCCCUGNGAGU